UACGUAGGGGGCAAGCGUUGUCCGGAUUUAUUGGGCGUAAAGAGCGUGUAGGCGGCUAGGAAGGUCCGUUGUGAAAACUCGAGGCUCAACCUCGAGACGUCGAUGGAAACCAUCUAGCUAGAGUCCGGAAGAGGAGAGUGGAAUUCCUGGUGUAGCGGUGAAAUGCGCAGAUAUCAGGAAGAACACCCGUGGCGAAGGCGGCUCUCUGGUACGUGACUGACGCUGAGACGCGAAAGCGUGGGGAGCGAACAGG
This 253-nucleotide ribosomal RNA is filed under the name uncultured bacterium. Its description in RNAcentral is "partial 16S ribosomal RNA". It matches the Rfam family "Bacterial small subunit ribosomal RNA", at positions 524 to 776 of the family's 1533-position model. The record is from RNAcentral.